UUUAACCGCUGUCUAUGCGCUAUUAAGAAGCCGAACAAAAUAUCUUAUUAUUGUUUUUCGUGUACAUUUUGGAUUGGACUUGUUGAAGGGUGAAACAAUAUUUUUUUACAUAUACUUAUAAUAAAUUUAAAACAGUGAGCACGUCUAAUAAAAUAUAUUUAAAUCCAUAUUCAUUACAAAGUUUUGAAGCAACAUACGUAGUUGUGCGUUUUCUUUGUUCAGUUGCUGAAAUACAUCUGCAAAUGCCAUUACCUUCGGCCGGUGAUUGCGACGUGUGUGACGCAACUUAAAACCCUGAAGUAAAAAAGAGAUUUAGAUGAAAACAAACAGGAUUUUUAUUGAGAAUAAAAAAAAUUACUGAUCUAGAUUGGGUACUGAGGAGGAGAGUACUUACGAGAGGAAUUCCUUUGAGUUCAUAACACAUCGAGGAUUAUUUUACAAAAAAAAUAUUCAACAAGUAUUAUGUUUCAUGAAACCGAUAUUAAUUAUCCAAGCAAGCUGUCGAAAAUUUAAGCAAACUUUGCAGAAAUAAAAUGAAUGUACGAGUA
Bombyx mori (domestic silkworm) is the source of this 548-nucleotide long non-coding RNA. RefSeq lists it as uncharacterized. The record is from RefSeq and is a predicted model, not a curated record. The transcript has 2 exons. NCBI's taxonomy places the organism in Eukaryota, Metazoa, Arthropoda, Insecta, Lepidoptera, Bombycidae.